Cynocephalus volans (Philippine flying lemur) is the source of this 1138-nucleotide long non-coding RNA. RefSeq lists it as uncharacterized. Lineage: Eukaryota; Metazoa; Chordata; Mammalia; Dermoptera; Cynocephalidae. The transcript is spliced from 4 exons. The record is from RefSeq and is a predicted model, not a curated record.
CACUGCGCCUGCGCCGGCCGCUUGCAGGCCUCUGCGGAGUCGGAGGGGUCGCGAGUGCGCGUGACUUUACCAGACGCCGGAGCACGUCUUGGUCUAGCUGUGGAUGGCAGGCCAGUCCCUAGAUGUCAGGGCAGCUGCUUUCUCUCAACAGAAGUAAUACAUACAUGCAGGCUGGAAGCUGGUGAGCCCUGCACUACCACACCAAAACAUUUGGGAGGUCUUUAUGACCAGUUGGUUGAGGAGGAGAAAACCUGAUCCUGGCUCAUAGAUGGUCCAGAAGCAGAUGGCUGCAGCACCAUAGUCCCAUUCAGAAGUGGCCCUAAAGGACAGCAGUGAAGAAGGAUGGUUAGUGGUGGCUUAUGCAAUUUUAAAAGCUGGCAAAAGGAGCAGGCAUGUCACAGAAGAGGAAAACAAAUGCCAUUUAAAAUCCUCCAAAAGAACUCUGAACACCACACCAGCCCUGUGAAUAAUACAGACCGCACCACGGCACGGUGGCAGGAGCAGCUGCCCAUGGCCGGAGCUGCAGAGCACAUGGAGUGUCAGAAGCUCUCCCCUGCCUGCAGUCGUGUGGAUGUUACAGCUGCUUUGAUAUUCCUUUCCAGUCUGACAUUCCCGUGAGGACCAGCAGGCAUGUAGCUUACAACGAGCCUCAAGAACUGUGAAGGGCUGGACAUUUUACCCUGCUGGCAAACUAACAAGUUAGCCUGCCACCAUUCGGAGGUCUGUCACCAGGGCACAUGUCUGCAAGUGCCAAAGCACUCUGACAAGCCAUUAUAUUUGCCACUUGCAAAUUCACUUUGGAGUUGCUUAGGCCGUUCUUGUCUCCAGAGGGACUGAGGCAACUUAUGUGUUACCUGUGGAAGUUGAAAAUUAGAAAUGUAGGAAGAGAAGAAAGAUCCAGUACGUGGGUCUUUAAUUUCGUGUGUAUCUGUAGGUCUGUGCACGUACGCACUCAGAAAGCUUUCUCAUUCCUACUCCGGAGGGUACAGGGAGCUGGCCACGUGGCCCUAUCAGCCUCACAUUGCCCAGAGAGCCAGGAACACUCCCGAGCUCUAAGCUGAAAACUUGGAACUGAGUGGGCGUGUCUGAGGUCGUCCUAGGAAUCCAAAGGCAGAAAUGGCUAUUUGGAAAUGUUUUC